GACGAACGCUGGCGGCGUGCUUAACACAUGCAAGUCGAACGGAAAGGCCCUGCUUUUGUGGGGUGCUCGAGUGGCGAACGGGUGAGUAACACUUGAGUAACCUGCCCUUGACUUUUGGAUAACUUCAGGAAACUGGGUCUAAUACCGGAUAGGAGCUCCUGCUGCAUGGUGGUGGUUGGAAAGUUUCGGCGGUUGGGGAUGGACUCGCGGCUUAUCAGCUUGUUGGUGGGGUAGUGGCUUACCAAGGCUUUGACGGGUAGCCGGCAUGAGAGGGUGACCGGCCACAAUGGGACUGAGAUACGGCCCAGACUCCUACGGGAGGCAGCAGUGGGGAAUAUUGCACAAUGGGCGGAAGCCUGAUGCAGAAACGCAGCGUGCGGGAUGACGGCCUUCGGGUUGUAAACCGAUUUAGACUGUGACGAAGAGUGAGUGACGGUAAUGGGUAAAGAAGCACCGGCUAACUACGUG
RNAcentral lists this ribosomal RNA (468 nucleotides) under uncultured bacterium. Its description in RNAcentral is "partial 16S ribosomal RNA". It matches the Rfam family "Bacterial small subunit ribosomal RNA", at positions 28 to 507 of the family's 1533-position model. The record is from RNAcentral.